RNAcentral lists this ribosomal RNA (294 nucleotides) under uncultured bacterium. RNAcentral describes it as "partial 16S ribosomal RNA". It matches the Rfam family "Bacterial small subunit ribosomal RNA", at positions 29 to 334 of the family's 1533-position model. The record is from RNAcentral.
AACGAACGCUGGCGGCAUGCUUAACACAUGCAAGUCGAACGAUCUUUGCAGAAGCUUGCUUUUGUAAAGAGAGUGGCAGACGGGUGAGUAACACGUGGGAAUCUACCCAUCAGUACGGAAUAACACUUGGAAACAAAUGCUAAUACCGUAUAUUCUCUUCGGAGGAAAGAUUUAUCGCUGAUGGAUGAGCCCGCGUCGGAUUAGGUAGUUGGUAGGGUAAUGGCCUACCAAGCCUACGAUCCGUAGCUGGUCUGAGAGGAUGAUCAGCCACACUGGGACUGAGACACGGCCCAG